CUAGUAAUCGCGAAUCAGAAUGUCGCGGUGAAUACGUUCCCGGGCCUUGUACACACCGCCCGUCACACCAUGGGAGUUGGAAGCACCCGAAGUCGGUGACCUGACCGAAAGGGAGGAGCCGCCGAAGGUGAAGCCAGCGACUGGGGUGAAGUCGUAACAAGGUACC
This 166-nucleotide ribosomal RNA is filed under the name uncultured bacterium. Its description in RNAcentral is "partial 16S ribosomal RNA". It matches the Rfam family "Bacterial small subunit ribosomal RNA", at positions 1335 to 1500 of the family's 1533-position model. The record is from RNAcentral.